AGCCAUGGGAGACUUGCCGAGGACUUUGUCCACCAAGUGAUGAAAGCAUGCAAAUGCCUCCGAAUCAAAGAUGAGGAAAACAAAAGCUCAGAAACUAUCUUGGAGUCAGCAAGUAAGAAGGAGCUUAGAAAGGCUUAACAUUUUCCAUGCUUCUGCCUGGCUUCAGAGCCCAUGCACUCUGCCUUACCACGGCAGGUGAAAGAUGGCCCCAAAUUCUUAGGUACAUCUCCUGCCAAAAGACCCCUCCUAUGGGUUCUGUGACUACUUCAAUGAAAAGAAUAGGGCAGAAGAGAUGAUGAGAACUUAACAUCUGGCAGUGUCCAUUUCCUGUCUUUUGAAACUUUCUGUUAAAGGCCUGAGCCACGUAUGAAGUGUGAAUCUUCACACCAUGCAAGAGAAGCCACAUGUUAUUGCUCUGGUCAACAAUCCCAGCUGACCCAACCAGAUAGUGUAUCAGGCAUAUGAGUAAAGCAUUCUUAGAUUCUUCAGUCCAGCCCUUCACCAGCAGAACACCAUUCAGCAACCCUUGUCGGCAUCAUGUGGGACAGAAGAACCACCCAGCUGAGCCUUAUCCAAAUUCCUGACCACAAAAUCAUAAGGCUGGAAUUUUAUUCUACAGUCCUGUAAGGUACAGAUCAUUGGGUAAAUGGAGAAAAUUUUCUCCCCAAAGAGAGAAUGACUUCUUUCAUAUCGCUGAAUGGAGCAACAUGUUUGGCCAAGUUCCUGUCCCAGGGAGGAGAACCUUCAGCUUGCAACAAGUCCUGGCCGUUGGAGAAACCAUGAGACUAGACCUUGUGUAAAGCAGCUGAUUCUGCCAUGGGGGAAAUGCCCUUUUGUUUACUGAGCUUCUCCCACCCAUGCCUUGCUCCACUUUCCUCUAGAAGCCUGAGAUAUUGGGAAUAAGAGUCUCAGCCUCCAAGAGAUGGAGAACAUAUCAAGAGAGUCUGGAUUUCUGGGGUGAUUAAGUUCACUUGAUUCAUUAGCCUAAGUGCUCAAGUAAAUUUCAAAUCACAGUGUUAUGUGUGAUUGUCCACGUCCUUCCUCCAAACACUCCCCACCUCCCACCCAAGGGCCCAUGUAACUUGCUAUUGAGAACCUUUGAUUUCUUAGGUAUUUGGGUGAUAGGGUUUUGUUGCCUCUCCUGAAGAAAAUAGUGGCAAUUUGUACUCAGCUGUGGAAUAAAGGAAAUCAUGACAUA
Homo sapiens (human) is the source of this 1198-nucleotide long non-coding RNA. Ensembl annotates it as long intergenic non-protein coding RNA 2325. The record is from Ensembl. Lineage: Eukaryota; Metazoa; Chordata; Mammalia; Primates; Hominidae.